GACUCUCGGCAACGGAUAUCUAGGCUCUCGCAUCGAUGAAGAACGUAGCAAAAUGCGAUACUUGGUGUGAAUUGCAGAAUCCCGUGAAUCAUCGAGUCUUUGAACGCAAGUUGCGCCCGAAGCCACCAGGCCGAGGGCACGCCUGCCUGGGCGUCUCGC
RNAcentral lists this ribosomal RNA (159 nucleotides) under Cissus quadrangularis (veldt-grape). Its description in RNAcentral is "5.8S ribosomal RNA". It matches the Rfam family "5.8S ribosomal RNA". From Rfam's summary of the family: 5.8S ribosomal RNA (5.8S rRNA) is a component of the large subunit of the eukaryotic ribosome. It is transcribed by RNA polymerase I as part of the 45S precursor that also contains 18S and 28S rRNA. The record is from RNAcentral. Lineage: Eukaryota; Viridiplantae; Streptophyta; Magnoliopsida; Vitales; Vitaceae.